UCCCUGGUGGCUCAGACGGUAAAGCGUCUGCCUACUAUACAGGAGACCCAGGUUCAAUUUCUGGGUCAAGGAA
Transfer RNA from Ovis aries (sheep), 73 nucleotides. It matches the Rfam family "tRNA". From Rfam's summary of the family: Transfer RNA (tRNA) molecules are approximately 80 nucleotides in length. Their secondary structure includes four short double-helical elements and three loops (D, anti-codon, and T loops). NCBI's taxonomy places the organism in Eukaryota, Metazoa, Chordata, Mammalia, Artiodactyla, Bovidae. The record is from Rfam.